This 468-nucleotide ribosomal RNA is filed under the name uncultured bacterium. RNAcentral's name for it is "partial 16S ribosomal RNA". It matches the Rfam family "Bacterial small subunit ribosomal RNA", at positions 28 to 507 of the family's 1533-position model. The record is from RNAcentral.
GACGAACGCUGGCGGCGUGCUUAACACAUGCAAGUCGAACGGAAAGGCCCUGCUUUUGUGGGGUGCUCGAGUGGCGAACGGGUGAGUAACACGUGAGUAACCUGCCCUUGACUUUGGGAUAACUUCAGGAAACUGGGGCUAAUACCGGAUAGGAGCUCCUGCUGCAUGGUGGGGGUUGGAAAGUUUCGGCGGUUGGGGAUGGACUCGCGGCUUAUCAGCUUGUUGGUGGGGUAGUGGCUUACCAAGGGUUUGACGGGUAGCCGGCCUGAGAGGGUUAACGGCGACAUUGGGACUGCGAUACGGCCCAGACUGCUAUGGGAGGCAGCAGUGGGGAACAUUGCACAAUGGGCGGAAGCCUGAUGCAGCAACGCCGCGUGCGGGAUGACGGCCUUCGGGUUGUAAACCGCUUUCGACUGUGACGAAGCGUGAGUGACGGUAAUGGGUAAAGAAGCACCGGCUAACUACGUG